UACGGAGGGAGCUAGCGUUGUUCGGAUUUACUGGGCGUAAAGGGCACGUAGGCGGCCUGCAUAGUUAGACGUGAAAGCCCCGGGCUCAACCCGGGAACUGCGUUUAAUACUGGCAGGCUUGAGAUUGGUAGAGGGUAGUGGAAUUCCUAGUGUAGAGGUGAAAUUCGUAGAUAUUAGGAAGAACACCAGUGGCGAAGGCGGCUACCUGGACCAAUACUGACGCUGAGGUGCGAAAGCGUGGGGAGCAAAC
This 250-nucleotide ribosomal RNA is filed under the name uncultured bacterium. RNAcentral describes it as "partial 16S ribosomal RNA". It matches the Rfam family "Bacterial small subunit ribosomal RNA", at positions 524 to 773 of the family's 1533-position model. The record is from RNAcentral.